GUUUGAUCCUGGCUCAGGACGAACGCUGGCGGCGUGCCUAAUACAUGCAAGUCGAACGAAGCUUUCUUUCACCGAAUGCUUGCAUUCACCGAAAGAAAACUUAGUGGCGAACGGGUGAGUAACACGUAGGCAACCUGCCCAAAAGAGGGAGAUAACACUUGGAAACAGGUGCUAAUACCGCAUAACCAUGAACACCGCAUGAUGUUCAUGUAAAAGACGGCUUUUGCUGUCACUUUUGGAUGGGCCUGCGGCGUAUUAACUUGUUGGUGGGGUAACGGCCUACCAAGGUGAUGAUACGUAGCCGAACUGAGAGGUUGAUCGGCCACAUUGGGACUGAGACACGGCCCAAACUCCUACGGGAGGCAGCAGUAGGGAAUCUUCCACAAUGGACGAAAGUCUGAUGGAGCAACGCCGCGUGAAUGAAGAAGGCCUUCGGGUCGUAAAAUUCUGUUGUCAGAGAAGAACGUGUGUGAGAGUAACUGUUCACGUAUUGACGGUAUCUGACCAGAAAGCCACGGCUAACUACGUGCCAGCAGCCGCGGUAAUACGUAGGUGGCAAGCGUUGUCCGGAUUUAUUGGGCGUAAAGGGAACGCAGGCGGUCUUUUAAGUCUGAUGUGAAAGCCUUCGGCUUAACCGAAGUAGUGCAUUGGAAACUGGAAGACUUGAGUGCAGAAGAGGAGAGUGGAACUCCAUGUGUAGCGGUGAAAUGCGUAGAUAUAUGGAAGAACACCAGUGGCGAAAGCGGCUCUCUGGUCUGUAACUGACGCUGAGGUUCGAAAGCGUGGGUAGCAAACAGGAUUAGAUACCCUGGUAGUCCACGCCGUAAACGAUGAGUGCUAAGUGUUGGAGGGUUUCCGCCCUUCAGUGCUGCAGCUAACGCAUUAAGCACUCCGCCUGGGGAGUACGGUCGCAAGACUGAAACUCAAAGGAAUUGACGGA
Molecule: ribosomal RNA, 940 nt
Filed under: uncultured bacterium
Lineage: Bacteria
Description: bacterial SSU rRNA
Rfam family: Bacterial small subunit ribosomal RNA
Source: RNAcentral